RNAcentral lists this unclassified non-coding RNA (358 nucleotides) under soil metagenome. RNAcentral's name for it is "partial contains 5.8S ribosomal RNA, internal transcribed spacer 2, and large subunit ribosomal RNA". The stretch from base 1 to 120 matches the Rfam family "5.8S ribosomal RNA", at positions 35 to 154 of the family's 154-position model. The record is from RNAcentral.
GAUGAAGAACGCAGCGAAAUGCGAUAAGUAAUGUGAAUUGCAGAAUUCAGUGAAUCAUCGAAUCUUUGAACGCACAUUGCGCCCGCCAGUAUUCUGGCGGGCAUGCCUGUCCGAGCGUCAUUUCAACCCUCGAACCCCUCCGGGGGGUCGGCGUUGGGGACCUCGGGAGCCCCUAAGACGGGAUCCCGGCCCCGAAAUACAGUGGCGGUCUCGCCGCAGCCUCUCCUGCGCAGUAGUUUGCACAACUCGCACCGGGAGCGCGGCGCGUCCACGUCCGUAAAACACCCAACUUCUGAAAUGUUGACCUCGGAUCAGGUAGGAAUACCUGCUGAACUUAAGCAUAUCAAUAAGCGGAGGA